RNAcentral lists this ribosomal RNA (500 nucleotides) under uncultured bacterium. Its description in RNAcentral is "partial 16S ribosomal RNA". It matches the Rfam family "Bacterial small subunit ribosomal RNA", at positions 30 to 523 of the family's 1533-position model. The record is from RNAcentral.
AUUGAACGCUGGCGGCAUGCCUUACACAUGCAAGUCGAACGGCAGCACGGGAGCAAUCCUGGUGGCGAGUGGCGAACGGGUGAGUAAAGUAUCGGAACGUGCCCAGUCGUGGGGGAUAACGUAGCGAAGGUUACGGUAAUAACGCAUACGAUCUAUGGAUGAAAGCGGGGGAUCGCAAGACCACGAGCGAUUGGAGAGGCCGAUAUCAGAUUAGGUAGUUGGUGGGGUAAAGGCUCACCAAGCCGACGAUCUGUAGCUGGUCUGAGAGGACGACCAGCCACACUGGGACUGAGACACGGCCCAGACUCCUACGGGAGGCAGCAGUGGGGAAUUUUGGACAAUGGGCGCAAGCCUGAUCCAGCCAUGCCGCGUGCAGGAUGAAGGCCUUCGGGUUGUAAACUGCUUUUGUACGGAACGAAAAGGUUUGACUUAAUACGUUGGACUCAUGACGGUACCGUAAGAAUAAGCACCGGCUAACUACGUGCCAGCCGCCGCAGUAA